This is a long non-coding RNA of Cucurbita maxima (winter squash), 709 nucleotides long. RefSeq lists it as uncharacterized. The record is from RefSeq and is a predicted model, not a curated record. NCBI's taxonomy places the organism in Eukaryota, Viridiplantae, Streptophyta, Magnoliopsida, Cucurbitales, Cucurbitaceae. The transcript is spliced from 2 exons.
UCAAGUACUUCGCUAUGUUAACCCAGUCCUCAUGUUUACAGCUCUACAAGAAGUUCCGGAGUACAAUUAUUGUUGGCAGAAAUAACCUUAUUAUGCAUUGGAUAAUCGUUUGUCGCAGCAUGCAUCUAAUUGGGACUAAAGAUUGAUCUUGGUUUAUCCAGAUCAACUUUAAAAUGAAACGAACUUAAUAGCUUCAAAAACAUAUCAUACAAUAAAGCUUUAAUUUAGACAAAAAGAGAAGUAGCCCUGAAAACAGAAGAUGAAUGGCAUAUAUCAAUCCAUCGAUAUUCAAAAUGAAGGAUAAGAGUUUUGGCUCAGAGCAACAAUGCAAACUGUUAAGAACUCUAUCCAUUCGACAAGAUUACGUCAAAAUCAAAAGAGUAUCUAUUACUAACAAUAAAAAAAUGUCUUCUAUGGAAAAAAUAGAUCAAAAGGGUAAAGUUUAUCAAUUCCUAAAUCCCUAUUGUAUAGUCCGUGCAUAUUAAAAAUGUGUAUAUUAAUACUAUACACAAUCACACAUCUCAUAAUCAAAGACAUUUCUAAACUGUUGUAUGGAGUAUGGAGUAUUCAGUAAUUACUUCGGCAUAAUGAGGUAACUAAAACAACCUGCAGCUUCCAUAAACAAUUGACAUAAAUAAAUAUACCUCUUAGGCUCUUAAAAUUAGCAUGCGUACAAAUCACAGAAAAAGAGUACUAGAGUUAAAAAAAA